RNAcentral lists this ribosomal RNA (460 nucleotides) under uncultured Treponema sp. Its description in RNAcentral is "partial 16S ribosomal RNA". It matches the Rfam family "Bacterial small subunit ribosomal RNA", at positions 341 to 792 of the family's 1533-position model. The record is from RNAcentral. Lineage: Bacteria; Pseudomonadati; Spirochaetota; Spirochaetia; Treponematales; Treponemataceae.
ACGGGAGGCAGCAGUUAAGAAUAUUCCGCAAUGGACGAAAGUCUGACGGAGCGACGCCGCGUGGAUGAUGAAGGUCGGAAGAUUGUAAAAUCCUUUUAUAUAUGAGGAAUAAGCAGUAUGAGAGAAACGUACUGUGGUGACUGUAGUAUAUGAAUAAGCAACGGCUAAUUGCGUGCCAGCAGCCGCGGUAACACGUAAGGUGCGAGCGUUGUUCGGAAUUAUUGGGCGUAAAGGGCAGGUAGGCGGUUUUGCAAUGUUGGGGUGAAAGGCAGGAGCUUAACUCCUGGACUGCGCUGAGAACUGCAUGACUAGAGUCACUGAGGGGCAAUCAGAAUUCCUGGUGUAGGGGUGAAAUCUGUAGAUAUCAGGAAGAAUACCAAUGGCGAAGGCAGGUUACCAGCAGAUGACUGACGCUGAGGCGCGAAGGUGCGGGGAGCAAACAGGAUUAGAUACCCUGGUA